Molecule: ribosomal RNA, 253 nt
Filed under: uncultured bacterium
Lineage: Bacteria
Description: partial 16S ribosomal RNA
Rfam family: Bacterial small subunit ribosomal RNA
Source: RNAcentral
UACGAGGGGGGCAAAUGUUGUUCGGAAUCACUGGGCGUAAAGCGCACGUAGGCGGCUUUCUAAGUCAGGGGUGAAAUCCUGGAGCUCAACUCCAGAACUGCCUUUGAUACUGGAGAGCUUGAGUCCGGAAGAGGUGAGUGGAACUCCGAGUGUAGAGGUGAAAUUCGUAGAUAUUCGGAAGAACACCAGUGGCGAAGGCGGCUCACUGGUCCGGUACUGACGCUGAUGUGCGAAAGCGUGGGGAGCAAACAGG